UGGGUUGUAACUCAGUGGUAAAGAGCACUUGCCUAGCAUGUAUGAGGCACUGGGUUCAAUUCUCAGCACCACAU
This 74-nucleotide transfer RNA is filed under the name Marmota marmota marmota (Alpine marmot). It matches the Rfam family "tRNA". From Rfam's summary of the family: Transfer RNA (tRNA) molecules are approximately 80 nucleotides in length. The record is from Rfam by way of RNAcentral. RNAcentral also lists the same sequence under 2 other names. Lineage: Eukaryota; Metazoa; Chordata; Mammalia; Rodentia; Sciuridae.